This 373-nucleotide ribosomal RNA is filed under the name uncultured organism. RNAcentral describes it as "partial 16S ribosomal RNA". It matches the Rfam family "Bacterial small subunit ribosomal RNA", at positions 527 to 896 of the family's 1533-position model. The record is from RNAcentral.
GUACUGUGCGAACGUUAUUCGGAAUCACUGGGGCGUUAAAGGGGUGCGCAGGCGGCCGAUCAAGUCAGGUGUGAAAGUCCUCGGCUCAACCGAGGGAAUUGCGCUUGAAACUGAUCGGCUUGAGUGAGAUAGGGGUGUGCGGAACUUCCAGUGGAGCGGUGAAAUGUGUUGAUAUUGGAAGGAACGCCGGUGGCGAAAGCGGCACACUGGGUCUCAACUGACGCUCAUGCACGAAAGCCAGGGUAGCGAACGGGAUUAGAUACCCCGGUAGUCCUGGCUGUAAACGAUGAGCACUAGACGAGAGGAGUUUCGACUCAUCUGGUCGCAGCGAAAGCAUUAAGUGCUCCGCCUGGGGAGUAUGGUCGCAAGGCUG